This 73-nucleotide transfer RNA is filed under the name Gammaproteobacteria bacterium SG8_11. RNAcentral's name for it is "tRNA-Glu". It matches the Rfam family "tRNA". From Rfam's summary of the family: Transfer RNA (tRNA) molecules are approximately 80 nucleotides in length. Their secondary structure includes four short double-helical elements and three loops (D, anti-codon, and T loops). The record is from RNAcentral. RNAcentral also lists the same sequence under 2 other names. Lineage: Bacteria; Pseudomonadati; Pseudomonadota; Gammaproteobacteria.
GCUCCCAUCGUCUAGAGGCCUAGGACACUGGCCUUUCACGCCGGUAACAGGGGUUCGAAUCCCCUUGGGAGCG